UGGCCUCUCCUCUUCCUGUAUGGAAA
This 26-nucleotide non-coding RNA is filed under the name Homo sapiens (human). The record is from RNAcentral. Lineage: Eukaryota; Metazoa; Chordata; Mammalia; Primates; Hominidae.